RNAcentral lists this ribosomal RNA (253 nucleotides) under uncultured bacterium. Its description in RNAcentral is "partial 16S ribosomal RNA". It matches the Rfam family "Bacterial small subunit ribosomal RNA", at positions 524 to 776 of the family's 1533-position model. The record is from RNAcentral.
UACAGAGGGGGCAAGCGUUAUUCGGAAUUAUUGGGCGUAAAGGGCGCGUAGGCGGCAUGUUAAGUCGGCUGUGAAAGCCUGGGGCUCAACCCCAGAGGGUCGGCCGAUACUGGCAAGCUAGAGUACGGAAGAGGUAGCUGGAAUUCCUGGUGUAGCGGUGAAAUGCGCAGAUAUCAGGAAGAACACCCGUGGCUAAGGCGGUUCUCUAGUACGGUACUGACGCUGAGACGCGAAAGCGUGGGGAGCGAACAGG